UGACAUAUCUGGUGACCUGUCAAUAUAAUGUCAGUUCAUUCCUGUAUUCGCGACAUAUGAUUACGUUCGACUUCACUGCAAUUCUUGCACUCCAGCACAGGUUAUUUCAUAAUUAUCAUUGUAACUUGUCGCAAUAUUGUAAAAAUUGAUAAACAAUUUUCAGUAAAAACAGGAUAACCUGAGUCUUCAUGAAAGAAGAAUGCCACCUGCUGUAAUUUAGACUUGCUGUCGAUACGUUUACGAAUUACGCUAAAAUGAACCCAAAAAUAUUGUGGUCACGAAUGAAAUCAAAUAUUGGAUUGGUAAAAAAACAAGAUGGGGAAUAACUGAGAUAUUCAGAAUUUGUUUAAAUUAUUGUACAUGAGUAUACGUAAUAAUUAUAUGUGUGGCUAACUAUGAUAUGAUAUGACUCGAAGGACCAGCUCUCUCGACUGAAAUGAUCAAUCUCGCGAGCAACACCAAAAUUGUCUAUAAUGGGUAGAUCACCUUAAUUAGCCGCAACGGAUGACCAAUUUUUCAUCAAAAAAAAAUGGGACACCAACAAGUCUUUAAUGUUAUGUUUAAUAACUCUAGUAUUUGGUACUACUUAUUAUUUACAAGAUGUAACUUCACAAAAUUCAGAGGCUAAAAUAAUCAGUAUGUUGAAAAUAAUUUGACGGCUUAUUUAAACUUACUGUUACAGGAGUGGUUAGAAACAUUGGGAACACAUAGACCAAAUAGCCAAAAAGCAAUUAUUUUUCUGUUGUUAACUUUCUUAAAUCUGAAUCCCAUGGAUUUUAAUACUCGAUGUAAAGUAUUUAAACUUGCUGUAUAUUCUGGAUGUUCUUUCGCAAAAAUAAACA
Long non-coding RNA from Zophobas morio, 842 nucleotides. RefSeq lists it as uncharacterized. NCBI's taxonomy places the organism in Eukaryota, Metazoa, Arthropoda, Insecta, Coleoptera, Tenebrionidae. The transcript is spliced from 3 exons. The record is from RefSeq and is a predicted model, not a curated record.